Molecule: non-coding RNA, 725 nt
Filed under: Echinococcus oligarthrus
Lineage: Eukaryota; Metazoa; Platyhelminthes; Cestoda; Cyclophyllidea; Taeniidae
Source: RNAcentral
AUUUGUUUAACUGUGGCAAUAAGAAGUGUUGUUUCAUUUACUGCAUGAAAAUUGUUUGUUAUGAUUUGUGAUUAUGUUUUUUGGUUGUUUUUAUCAGCAGUUGGUUUUUUGUUAGGAUGUGAGUCUUAUAAGAAUGAUUCGAUUUAAGGGGAUAGGACACAGUGCCAGCAUCUGCGGUUAAUCUGUUUUCUUUGCUUUUGUGUGGAUUGUUAAUAUUUAUUUAUGUGCAAUGUUAGGUUAAAUUUUUUUUGUGUUAGUGUUGUGUAAAUAGAUUUUGUUAAGGAUAUAUGUUGUGACAGGGAUUAGAUACCCCAUUAAUGUAUUAUGUAAAGUUGUUCUAGUUUUAUAACUAAAAGGGUUUGGCAGUGAGUGAUUCUUGUUAGGGGAAUAUGCAUAGUAAAGGAUGGUCCACCUAAUAUUUUACUCUUGUUAUGUUGGUGUAUAUCUGGUUUGAUAUUAUUGUUGAAUGAUUUAAGUUUGUGUAGUUUUAGUUAAGCUAAGUCUAUGUGCUGCGUAUAAGAGUUUUUGUGUGUUACAUUUAUAAGAAUGUUAUUGAAAGAUGGUGUUGUAUUUAGGACUUAAUAGUAAUGUUAAAUGAGUUUGUUGAUGUGAAUAGAGUUUAGCUCAGGUACACACCGCCCGUCACCCUCGGUUUAUAUUGAGGUAAGUCGUAACAAGGUAACUUUAAAUGAAUUUGAAGUUAAUUAUUGGGUUAUCCAGUUAGA